This 77-nucleotide transfer RNA is filed under the name Gammaproteobacteria bacterium. RNAcentral describes it as "tRNA-Arg". It matches the Rfam family "tRNA". Rfam says of the family: Transfer RNA (tRNA) molecules are approximately 80 nucleotides in length. Their secondary structure includes four short double-helical elements and three loops (D, anti-codon, and T loops). Further hydrogen bonds mediate the characteristic L-shaped molecular structure. tRNAs have two regions of fundamental functional importance: the anti-codon, which is responsible for specific mRNA codon recognition, and the 3' end, to which the tRNAs corresponding amino acid is attached (by aminoacyl-tRNA synthetases). tRNAs cope with the degeneracy of the genetic code in two manners: having more than one tRNA (with a specific anti-codon) for a particular amino acid; and 'wobble' base-pairing, i.e. permitting non-standard base-pairing at the 3rd anti-codon position. Lineage: Bacteria; Pseudomonadati; Pseudomonadota; Gammaproteobacteria. The record is from RNAcentral. RNAcentral also lists the same sequence under 1 other name.
GCCCCGGUAGCUCAGCUGGAUAGAGCAAUCGCCUCCUAAGCGAUAGGUCGGACGUUCAAAUCGUCUCCGGGGCACCA